ACUUAUCACUACUCUUGCACUCACUUUGAACCUCAACAACAAACUCUUCACCCCAACUCACUCUUCACUAAAUUCCAUUCGAGAAUUGUUCAUCUUACAAUGAGUUCUUCUUGUAAAGAAUAAUUUGUUGUUUUGUGGUCAUCUUUUGUACAAGUUUUAGAAAUAUAUUGACUCUUUGAUCCACCCAACUAUCUAAAAAUCGCCAACACCUUUUUUCUUUUCACUCCUAACAUCACCAUCUCAAUUUAAAACCUUCUCAUAUACUACCAACUACAUAGUGACUAAAAACCAAGAAAAAAAGCAUGUAUUUUAUCAAGAAAUUAAGAAACUCACCUUGAGCAUGAACCUCACGCUAAAGUGUGGAGCUGCCUUUGGGCAUGGGUGGAAUUGGAAAAUAGGUCGAAUGGCCCCUUCACACUAAGAAAGGAGGGUCUUGUGAAAAAUCCCCACAGCUGAAACCAAGUGGCAAAUAUACUAUAUUUGGGGUAGGCUUCACAUACUCCCUUAAUUCCUCCGACCAGUUGGUGAAUGAUGAGAGGACAACAAGGGAUAACCUUGCUUUCCUUCGUAAGUGGUUCAAGAUAUUUUCAAUGCUAAGAAAAAAUUCCUUUUUUAUUGUUGGAGAGCGCUAUGCGGGACAUUUUGUACCCCCAACUUGCAAAUCUGAUUAUUCAAACAAAAUUUCGUAUAAAUUUGAAGGGGAUUACUAUUGCCAAUUCUCUUCUUGAUUUUAACACAAACUAUAAUUAUGUAGCAAGCUUUUAUUGGUCUCAUUGUGUUAUAUCCGAGCAGAUCUUUGACUUUUUAAUGAAGGUUUGCAAUUAUUCCCAAAUUAAAAGAGAACAUAUUUAUGGUGGAGUUCGUGGCAUUUGCAAGCAAGUGUAUUUCCAAUUUGUUCAUGAUGUUGGUGAUUUUAAGGGUUACACUGAUGUCCUUGAUAAUAUCUGAUACGCUUGGAAUUUGGAUUUUUGGAUCUCUGAUUGUGUUAAUGAUCUAACUUUCACAUAUCUGAACACAAGAGAUGUGCAGGAUGCUCUGCGUGUUGGGCUCUUCAGGAAGAAGUCUUGGUCAUUUUGCACAUUUCAAAGGAUCAGGACAUGCUGCACAUUCUCAUCCUGAGAGGAGUCUUAUACUUCUCAAAGCCUUCCUUGAAGGAAAGCAGGCUCCAACACUUACAUAUAUUUUUUUUUUCCUCAAAAAAAAAAAAAAAUUAACAUACACAAGAACAAUCCAACUAGUUCCAAUUUCUAUGAUGAAAGUGACUUCUCACCACCAUUAGAACUAUGAUAGAAUGUAUUUAGAUCAAAAGUAAUGAAAUUUGCAUUUCUUCUUGUGCAGAAACCGAUUAAGGCCCGUUGUUGGGUAGUUUGCUGAGAAUUCAGAGCUGUGGUUUGUGAUCAGUACUCAAAUUCUAAUGAACAAAUGCACGCUCAACUUCUGGAAGUUUCUCAAGUUUUAUUUAGAAUAUCUCCAAUGUCAUGUGCUUCUUUUAAGUGUAAAUCUUCUGGCAGUUCGACCUCGACCUCCACAAAAUAUAAAACAACAGAUGUAUAUGUGCAAACAAUAUAUCAAUAUGGUUAAUUCCAACGUGUAUUAUAACAAGAUGUGAUAGCUUCUGCAACUUCACAGGAGAUACAUAUUGCCCCACCAGUUAAACUGCAUUUUCUAUGAUAGUGUGAGACCAAUUUGAAAUAGUGUAAAUUGCAAGCAAAAUAGCCCCCCUCCCCCCAAUGGAUCAAUCCACCAGUGAAAUUUAUCACCAAGAAUAGUCGUAACUAAUAAACAUACAUGUUACAACAUCAAUGUGCUGAUAAUCUGCAUAGGCAUUGACAAUCUUGUUUCCUAAGCGAUCAACUGCAAAUUAUCUUGUACUUUAUAUACUUUGUAUAUAUUGGUUUCCAGGUAGCGGCAUAUAUAAGGCAAUAUUUAUAGGGAGCUUCUAUGAAGAAGUCGGGGAAUUGACUUUUUCGGUGAAGUCGUUAAUUCAGCCAAUCAGAUUUCAAGCCAUGACACGUCAGAUGUUGGGACAAAUUCUAAUAUGGAUCACUUGUUUCAUAUGUUCCACCAUAGACAAGUUUAUUUCAAGAUCUUAAUGGUUAGAUUUGUUUGGUCUCUAUGAUAUUGUGGUACACGCUCUACACAUGAUUUUUCUUAUUUUUCCAAUUC
Medicago truncatula (barrel medic) is the source of this 2166-nucleotide long non-coding RNA. RefSeq lists it as uncharacterized. The transcript is spliced from 3 exons. NCBI's taxonomy places the organism in Eukaryota, Viridiplantae, Streptophyta, Magnoliopsida, Fabales, Fabaceae. The record is from RefSeq and is a predicted model, not a curated record.